GGGUUCUGAGAUGCUUUGGCAUCCUACGUGACCAGCAUGCUCGCCGAGAUGGCCAAAGAGGAGGUGGCCAUGCUAAUCGGUGUGUCCAAUGGGAUCAAAUACCUGGGCAUCAAGCUUGGGGACCUCAAAAAUUUCCUUGCUGAUGCUGAUUGGAUGAACAUCAUCGAUGAGAAUAUGCGGGGGUAG
Molecule: ribosomal RNA, 186 nt
Filed under: Triticum aestivum (bread wheat)
Lineage: Eukaryota; Viridiplantae; Streptophyta; Magnoliopsida; Poales; Poaceae
Description: partial small subunit ribosomal RNA
Source: RNAcentral